CACGUAGGGGGCGAGCGUUGUCCGGAUUUAUUGGGCGUAAAGAGCUCGUAGGCGGUUCGAUAAGUCGGGUGUGAAAACUCUGGGCUCAACUCAGAGACGCCACCCGAUACUGUUGUGACUUGAGUCCGGUAGGGGAGUAUGGAAUUCCCGGUGUAGCGGUGAAAUGCGCAGAUAUCGGGAGGAACACCAGUGGCGAAGGCAGCCUCCUGGGCCAGCACUGACGCUCAUGCACGAAAGCGUGGGGAGCAAACAGG
RNAcentral lists this ribosomal RNA (254 nucleotides) under uncultured bacterium. Its description in RNAcentral is "partial 16S ribosomal RNA". It matches the Rfam family "Bacterial small subunit ribosomal RNA", at positions 524 to 776 of the family's 1533-position model. The record is from RNAcentral.